This 253-nucleotide ribosomal RNA is filed under the name uncultured bacterium. Its description in RNAcentral is "partial 16S ribosomal RNA". It matches the Rfam family "Bacterial small subunit ribosomal RNA", at positions 524 to 776 of the family's 1533-position model. The record is from RNAcentral.
UACGGCGGGUGCGAGCGUUAAUAGGAAUUACUGGGCGUAAAGGGUGCGUAGGUGGUUGAUUGAGUUAUCUGUGAAAUUCCUGGGCUUAACCUGGGACGGUCAGAUAACACUGGUUGACUCGAGUAUGGGAGAGGGUAGUGGAAUUUCCGGUGUAGCGGUGAAAUGCGUAGAGAUCGGAAGGAACACCAGUGGCGAAGGCGGCUACCUGGCCUAAUACUGACACUGAGGCACGAAAGCGUGGGGAGCAAACAGG